This 481-nucleotide ribosomal RNA is filed under the name uncultured bacterium. Its description in RNAcentral is "partial 16S ribosomal RNA". It matches the Rfam family "Bacterial small subunit ribosomal RNA", at positions 28 to 506 of the family's 1533-position model. The record is from RNAcentral.
GACGAACGCUGGCGGCGUGCUUAACACAUGCAAGUCGAACGAUGAAGAAGAGAAACGCGAACUUCGGUUCAAAUUUCACUUCGGAUUAGUGGCAGACGGGUGAGUAACGCGUGAGCAACCUACCUCUUACAAAGGGAUAGCCUCGGGAAACCGUGAUUAAUACCAUAUGACACAUUCAUAAGGCAUCUUAAGAAUGUUAAAGCUACGGCGGUAAGAGAUGGGCUCGCGUCCCAUUAGCUAGUUGGUGAGGUAACGGCCCACCAAGGCGACGAUGGGUAACCGGCCUGAGAGGGUGAACGGUCACAUUGGAACUGAGACACGGUCCAAACUCCUACGGGAGGCAGCAGUGGGGAAUAUUGCACAAUGGAGGGAACUCUGAUGCAGCGAAGCCGCGUGAGCGAUGAAGGAAUUCGUUUCGUAAAGCUCUGUUCUAUGGGAAGAAAAGGACUGUACCAUAGGAGAAAGCCCCGGCUAAAUACGU